RNAcentral lists this ribosomal RNA (269 nucleotides) under uncultured prokaryote. RNAcentral describes it as "partial 16S ribosomal RNA". It matches the Rfam family "Bacterial small subunit ribosomal RNA", at positions 524 to 792 of the family's 1533-position model. The record is from RNAcentral.
GACGUAGGAGGCGAACGUUAUCCGGAUUUAUUGGGCGUAAAGAGAGCGUAGGCGGCUUUUUAAGUCAAGUGUGAAAUCUUGUGACUCAAUCAGAAGAAGCCGCUUGAUACUGGAAGGCUUGAGGGAAGCAGAAGGAAAUGGAAUUCCCAGUGUAGCGGUGAAAUGCGUUGAUAUUGGGAAGAACACCAGUGGCGAAGGCGAUUUCCUAGGCUUUUCCUGACGCUGAGGCUCGAAAGCGUGGGGAGCGAAGCGGAUUAGAUACCCCCGUA